This 479-nucleotide ribosomal RNA is filed under the name uncultured organism. RNAcentral describes it as "partial 16S ribosomal RNA". It matches the Rfam family "Bacterial small subunit ribosomal RNA", at positions 331 to 801 of the family's 1533-position model. The record is from RNAcentral.
GUACACUCCUGCGGGAGGCAGCAGUGGGGAAUUUUGGACAAUGGGCGAAAGCCUGAUCCAGCCAUGCCGCGUGCAGGAUGAAGGCCUUCGGGUUGUAAACUGCUUUUGUACGGAACGAAACGGCCUUUUCUAAUAAAGAGGGCUAAUGACGGUACCGUAAGAAUAAGCACCGGCUAACUACGUGCCAGCAGCCGCGGUAAUACGUAGGGUGCAAGCGUUAAUCGGAAUUACUGGGCGUAAAGCGUGCGCAGGCGGUUAUGUAAGACAGUUGUGAAAUCCCCGGGCUCAACCUGGGAACUGCAUCUGUGACUGCAUAGCUAGAGUACGGUAGAGUGAGAUGGAAUUCCGCGUGUAGCAGUGAAAUGCGUAGAUAUGCGGAGGAACACCGAUGGCGAAGGCAAUCCCCUGGACCUGUACUGACGCUCAUGCACGAAAGCGUGGGAAGCAAACAGGAUUAGAAACCCCGGUAGUCCCAUGAU